AUAAUUAUAAAACUUGAACAAGAGAGGACGAGAAAGGAGAAACACCUACUGACGAUUGAUUUGUAAAGGAAGCUGAUAGAGGAGGU
RNAcentral lists this small RNA (86 nucleotides) under Arabidopsis thaliana (thale cress). RNAcentral describes it as "ATSL202110". Lineage: Eukaryota; Viridiplantae; Streptophyta; Magnoliopsida; Brassicales; Brassicaceae. The record is from RNAcentral.